AAGUAAAAGUCGUAACAAGGUCUCCGUUGGUGAACCAGCGGAGGGAUCAUUACCGAGUUUACAACUCCCAAACCCCUGUGAACAUACCACUUGUUGCCUCGGCGGAUCAGCCCGCUCCCGGUAAAACGGGACGGCCCGCCAGAGGACCCCUAAACUCUGUUUCUAUAUGUAACUUCUGAGUAAAACCAUAAAUAAAUCAAAACUUUCAACAACGGAUCUCUUGGUUCUGGCAUCGAUGAAGAACGCAGCAAAAUGCGAUAAGUAAUGUGAAUUGCAGAAUUCAGUGAAUCAUCGAAUCUUUGAACGCACAUUGCGCCCGCCAGUAUUCUGGCGGGCAUGCCUGUUCGAGCGUCAUUUCAACCCUCAAGCACAGCUUGGUGUUGGGACUCGCGUUAAUUCGCGUUCCUCAAAUUGAUUGGCGGUCACGUCGAGCUUCCAUAGCGUAGUAGUAAAACCCUCGUUACUGGUAAUCGUCGCGGCCACGCCGUUAAACCCCAACUUCUGAAUGUUGACCUCGGAUCAGGUAGGAAUACCCGCUGAACUUAAGCA
This 549-nucleotide ribosomal RNA is filed under the name Fusarium oxysporum. Its description in RNAcentral is "eukaryotic LSU rRNA". The stretch from base 201 to 354 matches the Rfam family "5.8S ribosomal RNA". The record is from RNAcentral. Lineage: Eukaryota; Fungi; Ascomycota; Sordariomycetes; Hypocreales; Nectriaceae.